ACACUCCUGGGGUUAGCCUUGUAGUUUGCUAGAAGCGGUGUAUUUGUCCUGCGGGCAACUCCGAAAGCGGGAAAAAUGUAGUGCUACGUGCUGCUAUCCUGACACUACUGAGUUGGACUGCUGAUAUAUCUGUGACGUGUCUGCAAGUAGAUCGAGCUGCUGCUGCUGACCUGUGAACUGAACUAUUGAUUUCUUGACAAUGCAGAUGUGAUUUGCACCAAAGAACCAUUUCUAAACAGGUUUGACAUUCUAAUGUUGCAUCGUAUUCUGUCAACCCGCACUGUAUGCAAUUACUAAAAUUGCAGGUAAAGGAUGUUCUAGAAACUUGGAAAUGAGGAGAAGAUGAGCCAUUCCUCUUAUUCACUUAGAGAUGUUAUGGCAUUUAAUACGUUUUAGUAACAAAAGGCUUCCAUGACUGUGACCACGUCAGCUCCUGGCAGCACCCCCAUAUGACUUCAGAGAAGAUGAUGGACAUCAGAGACCUUCCAAGUAGAAUUUGCUUCAAAUGUGGCAAAGCUAGGCACUAAAACUAAAGCUAGGCAAAAAC
RNAcentral lists this long non-coding RNA (547 nucleotides) under Mus caroli (Ryukyu mouse). RNAcentral describes it as "lncRNA (MGP_CAROLIEiJ_G0004142.1)". Lineage: Eukaryota; Metazoa; Chordata; Mammalia; Rodentia; Muridae. The record is from RNAcentral.